CUCACCUAAUGUUGAGCUCAUGAGUCACGACGAUGCUUGCAACUUCCGGAAGAAUCCUUAUACUGGAGAGAGAAUUUCGCCCUAAAAUUGAAGCUUCCUUUCCCACAUAUGAUCUCCAAGGGCAAUCAGUCGCUAUUAUAGGAUUGGGGAAGUCUGGGAUUGCAGCGGCUAAACUUGCUCUUGCUAGAGGUGCUUCAGUUCUCGCCCUUGACCAGAAUGAGACGUUGAAACCACUGGAGCAAACACUUUUAAAUGUUAAAGAUGGUCGUUUGAAGACAAUUCUUGGAUAUUUUGAUCAUGAGUUAUUUGACGAGGCCGAUCUCAUAGUUGUUUCCCCAGGAGUUGCUCUGGAAAAUUAUUGCCUAUCAUCUUUGUUGCAAUCUGGAAAGCGUGUGAUAUCUGAGUUGGAUUUUGCUGCUGAAGUACUCCCUCGAUGCACAAAGGUUUUGGCUGUCACAGGAACUAAUGGAAAAUCUACAGUGGCCACUUUUGCCGGACAGAUGCUCAACCAUUCCAACAUCAGAACAUUUGUUGGGGGAAAUCUUGGUAUUCCUCUCUCAGAAGCAGCUUUUGAGUGCUUGUUAUCACCUCAAGAACCUUACCAGGCUGCUGUAGUGGAAGUAAGCAGCUAUCAGCUUGAAAUUCCAAACAAGUUCUUCUCGCCUUCAGUUUCUGUGAUAUUAAAUCUCACUCCUGACCACCUAGAGAGACACAAGUCUAUGACUAAUUAUUCCACGAUCAAGUGCCGUGUACUUUCCCACAUGAGUGGCAGAAAGAUUGCCAUUCUUCCCAUGGGAAAUCCAUAUAUUACUGAAGCCAUUGCGAGUCAUGGAAAUGAAUGUAUGUUUGCUUGGAUUGGUGCUUAUCCUGGUGUCGAAGUUGACAUGGAGCAGAAAGUAGCCAACUUCAAUGUCCCCGGAAUUGGGCUUCUCUCGCAGUUGCCAUUGAAUGCAAUAAAGGCUGUUGGAACACACAAUUACUACAAUGCUGCCAUCGCUGCAUUAUCUGUUAUCGGGCUGGACGUUGGAAUUGAUACUGCAGCCAUUAGUUUGACAAUUGAUAGAUUAAAAGCUCCACCUCAUAGAAUGCAAAUUGUUCAUGAAGAUGGUAAUGGAGUAACCUGGGUAGAUGAUAGCAAGGCAACCAAUGUCGAAUCAACAUAUGCUGGCUUAACUGGUCUCAAAGAAAAGAAGGCUGUGGUUUUGCUUGGUGGUCUUUCAAAGAUUUUGGACGCCCAAGGUUCUAAUGGUUUCGAGCAUCUGAUAGAGCCAUUGAAGAACCACCGAGGUGUUGUCACUUUUGGUUCUUCAGGAUUGCUGAUCCAAGACACUCUAUCGUCUCAUGGUCUUGCCAUUCCUUGUUUACAAGCAAAAGAUCUUAAGGGCGCUGUGAGCUUAGCAAAGAACAUGGCAAAACCUGGGGAUGUCAUAUUACUGAGUCCAGGUUGUGCUAGUUUUGAUGAGUUCAUAAACUUUGAGCAUAGAGGAAAGUUCUUUCAAGAGCUUGCUCUAUCCAUGAAGGUCUAGUUGAGAGUUGAGACCAUCGACUUGAUUGUUGACGCUAGGAUUUUGAUCAAGGGGGACUUUACGAAAAUAGCCCUAUAAAAUGCGCAGAUUCUCUGAGAAAGCGGAUUUAACUGUGCCCUCUUAGCUGCAUAAUUUCCCGACAACACAUGCCCCAAGUGGAGUCUAUUUAUUUAUUUACAAGCCCUCCAAUAAUUCGUGCUUUUGCUAGCUUCCUAAUUAAAUUAGCGACCGCCCGCUUUCACCCAAAAAUAUCUAUUUCCGAUAUUUUUGUUUUUCUAUUUCUUGAUUAGAAUAACAUUUAUUAAGCAUUCUAGGGCAGCCUCACCCAUGAAUUAUAUUACUAGUACUUCAUUCUAUAAAAAUAAAGAUUCUUAUAUUUUAA
RNA transcript from Salvia hispanica, 1908 nucleotides. RefSeq lists it as uncharacterized. Lineage: Eukaryota; Viridiplantae; Streptophyta; Magnoliopsida; Lamiales; Lamiaceae. The record is from RefSeq and is a predicted model, not a curated record.